RNAcentral lists this ribosomal RNA (399 nucleotides) under uncultured bacterium. RNAcentral describes it as "bacterial SSU rRNA". It matches the Rfam family "Bacterial small subunit ribosomal RNA", at positions 355 to 748 of the family's 1533-position model. The record is from RNAcentral.
UGGGGAAUAUUGGACAAUGGGCGAAAGCCUGAUCCAGCCAUGCCGCGUGUGUGAAGAAGGUCUUCGGAUUGUAAAGCACUUUAAGUUGGGAGGAAGGGCAGUAACCUAAUACGUUAUUGUUUUGACGUUACCGACAGAAUAAGCACCGGCUAACUCUGUGCCAGCAGCCGCGGUAAUACAGAGGGUGCAAGCGUUAAUCGGAAUUACUGGGCGUAAAGCGCGCGUAGGUGGUUUGUUAAGUUGGAUGCGAAAGCCCCGGGCUCAACCUGGGAACUGCAUCCAAAACUGGCAAGCUAGAGUAUGGUAGAGGGUGUGGAAUUUCCUGUGUAGCGGUGAAAUGCGUAGAUAUAGGAAGAACACCGAGUGGCGAAGCGACCACCUGGACUGAUACUGACACUG